UACGUAGGGGGCAAGCGUUGUCCGGAAUCAUUGGGCGUAAAGAGCGCGUAGGCGGCCCUGUAAGUCCGCUGUGAAAGUCAAGGGCUCAACCCUUGGAUGCCGGUGGAUACUGCAGGGCUAGAGUCCGGAAGAGGCGAGUGGAAUUCCUGGUGUAGCGGUGAAAUGCGUAGAUAUCUGGAGGAAUACCGGUGGCGAAGGCGGCAUCCUGGACCGGCAUUGACGCUGAGGAGCGAAAGCCAGGGGAGCAAACGGG
Molecule: ribosomal RNA, 253 nt
Filed under: uncultured bacterium
Lineage: Bacteria
Description: partial 16S ribosomal RNA
Rfam family: Bacterial small subunit ribosomal RNA
Source: RNAcentral